RNAcentral lists this ribosomal RNA (479 nucleotides) under uncultured bacterium. RNAcentral describes it as "partial 16S ribosomal RNA". It matches the Rfam family "Bacterial small subunit ribosomal RNA", at positions 28 to 523 of the family's 1533-position model. The record is from RNAcentral.
GACGAACGCUGGCGGCGUGCUUAACACAUGCAAGUCGAGCGAUGAAGCACCUUCGGGUGUGAAUUAGCGGCGAACGGGUGAGGAACACGUGAGAAAUCUGCCUUCAACACUGGGAUAACUCCGGGAAACCGGGGCUAAUACCGGAUAUGAAACCUGCGGGCAUCCGCGGGUUUGGAAAGUUUUUCGGUUGAAGAUGAUCUCGCGGCCUAUCAGCUUGUUGGUGAGGUAAUGGCUCACCAAGGCGACGACGGGUAGCCGGCCUGAGAGGGCGAGCGGCCACACUGGGACUGAGACACGGCCCAGACUCCUACGGGAGGCAGCAGUGGGGAAUAUUGGGCAAUGGAGGAAACUCUGACCCAGCGACGCCGCGUGCGGGAUGGGGGCCUUCGGGUUGUAAACCGCUUUCAGCAGGGAAGAAGCGAAAGUGACGGUACCUGCAGAAGAAGCACCGGCUAACUAUGUGCCAGCAGCCGCCGUAA